Molecule: long non-coding RNA, 777 nt
Organism: Silurus meridionalis
Lineage: Eukaryota; Metazoa; Chordata; Actinopteri; Siluriformes; Siluridae
Exons: 2
Source: RefSeq, a predicted model, not a curated record
UCUCUUCCUGUCCACGCCAAGAAGUGGAUUAAAACGGACAUGGGGGAAAAAAGCAAUUAAAAAAUAUAUACAUUUAAAAACGUCCUGUUGCCUAAUGACGAAUUGGACAACAUUGGGGUCACGUGAUCUCGCCUUCAGAUCAUAUGAUAUCCUCCUAUACACUUGUGUAUUUCCUUUAUCAUGUAGUGUACUAUUUAUAAGCAUCAUUCACUUGGUCACGUGAAUAAAGUGAACCCUUAAUUGGUUCUUAAUUAGACCUUAAAUAUUUGAUACGCCCCGAAUUGGACACUGACGGUACUAAGGUGAAGGUUUUAAAGGUGGGCUCUUGAGGGUUUCGGGUACAGCAGGAACACAAUUAUGAAGAAUGAUAAAUCAGAAGCCUGAUGAUGAACAGAAGGAACAUGAGGCUUUAUACCCUCAGAAAACGGAUUGCCCUGGAAGAAGAGCAGGGUUGCGGGAAACUGGGGCUUCACCUGUCUGCUGCACCCAGAAGAAAAGAUGAGGUUUGAUUUCCUGACAAGGUCUACCGCAGGUGUGUGGAGAAAAGUCAAGUGGCAUUUCUUGUCAUUUCAACCAGUUGGUCCAGUAAACCAAGGACAAGGGUUCUACAUAAGAAAAGACAAACCGAACUCGUAGGAACCAGAGUGUCGGAGGAACCAGCCAAACAAACAGAUACACAAACAAAUACACAAACAAAUACACAAACAAACAUCAAAACAUAUUUGUAUUACACAAUGUGUUAUUCUACAAUCUUAAACAUGUAGUGGCAUUAAAUUA